Molecule: unclassified non-coding RNA, 277 nt
Filed under: Hevea brasiliensis (rubber tree)
Lineage: Eukaryota; Viridiplantae; Streptophyta; Magnoliopsida; Malpighiales; Euphorbiaceae
Source: RNAcentral
GGAUCUUUCCUUUAUACAGCAGUUACACAACUGAAUGUAACCAAUUAACAAAUUCAGCUGUUGCCUCUAACUUCCUCAACAGCAUUUCCCUCCAAAACAUUCUCUACCUGACCCUUAUUCUCCUUAACAUUAUUAUUUCUCUUCUUCUUUCUAUAGUAUGUAACAUCUUGCCAAUAAUUUUUUGUCUUAGCUCGCCUGAGCCUUUUAGACCCACACAUGCUCCUGCUAAAACUUAUCUCACCCGUUGUAGCACUAUAAUGACAUGGUUACUUCCCGC